Schistocerca gregaria is the source of this 76-nucleotide non-coding RNA. NCBI's taxonomy places the organism in Eukaryota, Metazoa, Arthropoda, Insecta, Orthoptera, Acrididae. The record is from the annotation of a RefSeq genome assembly.
GCCAUCGGUGGCUCAGAUGGAAUAGAGCGUCUGCCAUGUAAGUAGGAGAUCCCGGGUUCAAGUCCCGGUCGGGGCA